CCUACGGGGGGCAGCAGUGAGGAAUAUUGGUCAAUGGACGAGAGUCUGAACCAGCCAAGUAGCGUGAAGGAUGACUGCCCUAUGGGUUGUAAACUUCUUUUAUAUGGGAAUAAAAUGUUCCACGUGUGGGAUUUUGUAUGUACCAUAUGAAUAAGUAUCGGCUAACUCCGUGCCAGCAGCCGCGGUAAUACGGAGGAUCCGAGCGUUAUCCGGAUUUAUUGGGUUUAAAGGGAGCGUAGGUGGAUUGUCAAGUCAGUUGUGAAAGUUUGCGGCUCAACCGUAAAAUUGCAGUUGAAACUGGCAGUCUUGAGUACAGUAGAGGUGGGCGGAAUUCGUGGUGUAGCGGUGAAAUGCUUAGAUAUCACGAAGAACUCCGAUUGCGAAGGCAGUUCACUGGACUGCAACUGACACUGAGGCUCGAAAGUGUGGGUAUCAAACAGGAUUAGAUACCCUUGUAGUC
RNAcentral lists this ribosomal RNA (460 nucleotides) under uncultured bacterium. Its description in RNAcentral is "partial 16S ribosomal RNA". It matches the Rfam family "Bacterial small subunit ribosomal RNA", at positions 338 to 795 of the family's 1533-position model. The record is from RNAcentral.